This 41036-nucleotide long non-coding RNA is filed under the name Gossypium barbadense (sea-island cotton). Its description in RNAcentral is "long non-coding RNA (GBAR_LNC002822)". The record is from RNAcentral. Lineage: Eukaryota; Viridiplantae; Streptophyta; Magnoliopsida; Malvales; Malvaceae.
GCUCUCCAAGAACAGGCACAGCCUGGUUAAAAUCCCUCACUUUCGCCACUAUUACAAGAACCUUAUACGAUGAUUCCACCACCCCUUUGCUUUCCAAGAUGCCUCAUGAUGUUGUGCCUUUCAUGGAGUUCGAUCAUGCCCAGUUUUCCACUAAUCGACAUCUUGGAAUUCCUCUUUUAGCCACUCAUCUUCCUUAUUCUCUCUUACCCAGAUCUAUAAUUGAUUCCGGUUGUAAACUUAUUUACAUUUGCAGGGACCCCAAAGAUACAUUUGUUUCAUUGUAUCAUUUCGCUGCUAGGUACUCCAAAUCCCAAAAUACUCAACCUAUUCAACUUGAUGAAGCGUUUGAGUUGUUUUAUGAAGGUGUAAGUCCGUAUGGUCCUUAUUGGGAUCAUGUUUUGGGGUAUUGGAAAGCAAGUUUGGAACAUCCAGACAAGUUAAUGUUCUUGAAAUAUGAAGAAUUGGUUGAAGAUACUGUUUUGUAUCUUAAGAAAAUAGCAGCGUAUAUGGGUUAUCCUUUCUCGUCAGAGGAACAACAACAAUGGGUGCCUGAAAACAUUGUGAAGAUGUGCAGUUUCGAGAAUUUAAGUGGCUUGGAAGUAAAUAAAACCGGGAGACAUCGUGAAGGGCAAGGAAAUUUGGGGCUAGAAAAUAACAUUUAUUUUCGGAAAGGGAAGCCUGGAGACUGGAAGAAUUAUUUGACCACUGAAAUGGCUCAACGUUUAGACCAGCGAACAAUGCAAAAAUUGAGUGGUUCAGGUUUAAGUUUGUAAUUGAAGGUUGAUAAUCUAGGGUUUGUAAUUAUCCCUUUUAAUAAUAAUAUUUUCAAUUAAGGUUAUCUUACUUAGGAUUUGUAAUUAUCCCUUUUAGCAAUAUUAAUGGGUAUUGAUCUAUUGUAUUAUUUAUUGAAUCUUUAGUUGGAGUUCGUUAGUAGAACUUUAUCCGUUAAAUGACCAUUCCUUAAAUCUUUAGUUGGAGCUCGUUGGUAAAAUUUUAUCAAUUAAAUAAUUUAAAUAAAUAAAAUUUUUUUAAAUAGUUUAAUAAUUUAAAUAAAAUUUUUUAAAUAAUUCAAUAAUUAUUUUUCAAUUAGACCUAACCAGGGUUGGGUCUGAUAAGAGAUAAAGAUUUUCUCAUAAAAUGAUUCUAUAAAGACAAAUAAUGUGUCUUUUUAGGUGUAUUGGUGUAAUUUUGGUCAAUUUUCUUUUAGCCCCUAUAUUAUGUGUAAGUUGCAUAUUUAAUCCCUGUAGUUUAACCUAGUUCAUUUUAGUAUGUGGUUUUUGAAUUUUAAAAUUUUAGUUUUAGCUCAAAUUAUACCAGUUAAAUUUAUUAUGUUAAAUUCUAUUCGCAGUCUCAUAUUAUCUAUAAGUUGUUGAUUUAAUCUUUGUUCUUCAAUUACAUUAUUUUUGGUCUCUACAUUUCUUGAAUUUUGAAAUUUCAGUUUAAUAGUUGUUCGUGGCGGAUCGUGAGAUUAAGCUUUUUGGGGAGGCUACUUAAAAAUUCCAAAAAAAAAAUUAAGAGUUUAAUAAGAUUUUUUUUAAAAUGGGGUCUAAUUAAAUUUUUUUUAGAAAAAUAUACAAUGAGUUUAAUGAGAAGUUCUAGAAAUUUUAGGAGAGUGUAAUUGAAAUUUUUUAAAAAUAAAAUAAAACGCAUAAUGAGAUUUUUUUAAAAAAACUUAGGGACCUAAUUAAAAUUUUCAAAAAAAGUAGUUUAAUAAGAAUUAAAAAAAAUUGGGUUCUAGUUAAAUUUAUUAAAAAUUAUGUGAGACUAAUAAGAUUUUACAGAAAUUUUAAGAGAGUUUAAUUAAAAUCUUUAAAAUAGAUUAAAGGUAUAGUGAGAAUUUUCAAAAAUUUAAGCGACUUGAUUAAUUUUUUUUUUAAAAUUAGGGACUAAUGAAAUAUUUCAAAAUUUUGAGGGUGGGGCAAAGGCUCCCCACCAUUACCAUUCGUCACUAGUGGAGGUUACACUUAUUAACUAAAAUAAAAUAACUCUGGCUCUAUCUUAGAGCAUGAUAUACUCUUUCCUCUGUUGGUGUUUUUGUGUUUUGGCUUGACUGUGGGUGUGCUUUAUGUCCUUUCAUUUACCCAUAAGCCGCCGAGAGUUUAUUGCAUAUUUUUAUGUAUUUUUUGUGUGUUCCAGUUGGGGUGAGCAGUGACUUUCUUGCUUUGCUCUCUUUUUAUAAUUACUUUUUUAACUUUGAAUUAAAGCUCUCGAUAUUAGUAGAUUUGUUCAUGAAUCGGGCUACUUAGUCCGGCCUGAAAGACCGCCUAAAAUGUUGGAGGGUUUGGACAAAAAUAUAGCCCUGAAAAAUAGGCUUGGACAAAAAAAUAAGGCUCGUUUAAAAAAUGAGCCGGGUCUCGGGUAAAGUAUUUUUGGCCCGGGCCCGGCCCGAAUUCACUAAAUGACAAAAAAAUCUACUUUUUUUUUAAUGUUAUUUUCUUAUUGUUUUCUCUCUAUUUUGCUACCAUAUUACUAUUAUGUUACUAUUAUUUUGUUGUUAUUGUUUGAAUAUUGUAUAAAACUUAUUUUAUUAUUAAUUUGUUAUUAUUUUAAAGGCAUUUUGUUAAUUUUGUUAUUAUUUUAGAGGUAUUUGCUUGUUAAGUUGCAUCUAUCUUAGUACUAUUUAAGUCUACAUAAUUUUUAAAAAUUUAUUUUCAAUUUGUUAGAAAAUAUUUUUUUUGAUUUUAUUAGUAUUUUUGAUGUAUUAUAUAUAUUUAAAAAUUAUAUAAAAUAAUAUAAAAAAAUUAAUACGGGCGGGUCGGGCUUGGGCAAAAUUUUAGGCCCUUUUUUGGGCUCGGCUCGGCCUGAGCCCAAUGAAUAGCUUAAAUUUUUAGUUGAGCCCGACUCGGCCUGGCCCAUGAGCACCUCUAGGUAUUACUCUAAAAAAAAAUUUAAAUGAAAUUUCUCGAAUAAUGUCAUUUUUCGAUCAGAUCUUGUGGAUUGGGUCUGGUAAGAGGUAGGAUCAGCUUACUAAUUGACCAAUAAUUUUGUGCCAUAUCACCAUCAUUACACAAAAAUUAACAAUUUUAUCCUAAACAAAUAUUUCUCAUAAAAUGAUUCUACAAACACAAAUAACGUGUACUUUUAGGUGUAUUGGUGUAAUUUUGGUCAAUUUUCUUUUAGCCUCUAUAUUAUGUGUAAAUUGCAUAUUUAAUCCCUAUAGUUUUACCUAGUUCAUUUUUGUACGUGGUUUUUGAAUUUUAAAAUUUUAGUUUUAGCUCAAAUUAUACCAGUUAAAUACGUUGGACAAAAUACGCUAGCGAACAAAAUAUAUAAAUAUAAAUAAACAAAUAUUUUUAUAUAAAAUAAAAUAUAAAUAGAAUAAUUUAUAUUUAAAUUGUUAAAUACGAAAACGGAUAAAAAUCGUAACAAAAAGUUAAAAUCGAAAAGAAAUGUUGAGGCCUGUUUAAUAUAGUUUCUUUAAGACAAAUUCAGCAACUCCUAUGGUACUUGGAGAAACAUUGUUCGAAUGUCUCUCAGGAUAGAACAACACAAUGAUCAAAACAGUAGCACCUCUACAGCGAUCAAAGAACAAACGUUGCCUUUUUCUAUCACUGGAACGUUAGAAAAUAUGGAGAAGAAAAGAAGAAUUAAGAGAAAAUAAUCUCAGUGUGAGAGAGUGGAAAUUAAGCAAAAAAUUCUGAAGAAGUCUUAGCCUUCUAUAGGCAUUCAAAGUGGAUAAACUUUUUUGGGCUAGACAUUUCGCGUCGCCCACAUCAUGCGGGUGCACCCCAACCUCAACGGGUUUGGACUUACACCCCCCUUGCGCGUGAGGCAAGAUUUUAAGCUUAGUCAUUCAAUCACUAUUUAAGAGGGUUCUCAUAUAUAUACAUAUAUCACAUUUGGUAUUUAAUCAAUGUAGGAUUUAAGCUUUUCUUUCCAUCAACAAAUAUUUCCAAGUAGCUUACUUUGAGCAUCAAUUUCUCAUUCUUCACUCAACCAUUUGGAGCAUAUAAUAUACCGUUGUAAAUGUCUCAUGGAGUAGAAUAUGAAACAAUAAUUUUAUGAUUCAACUCUCCACCUUUACCUAUUGAGAAUAUGCCUCAAAGUUCCUAUAAAUUACAAUUUUUCUAACAAAAUUUGUUACGUUAUUUUCUAUUAGUAGCCUUAUAUUAUCCAUAAGUUGUUGAUUUAAUCUUCGUUCUUCAAUUACAUUAUUUUUAGCCUCUAUACUUCUUAAAAUUUGAAAUUUUAGUUUACUAGUUGUUAGUGGCGAAUCGUGGGAUUAAGUUUUUUUUUUUGGAGGCAACUUAAAAUUUUCAAAAAAAAUUAGAAGUUUAAUAAGAUUUUUUAAAAUGGGGUCUAAUUAAUUAUUUUUUAAAUAUUGUGAGUUUAAUGAGAAUUUCUAGAAAUUUUAAGAGAGUGUAAUUGAGUACUUUUAAUGCUUCUAUUUUGUUGUUCAAAUUUCCAUGUUAAAAUCCAGCUCAUUUAAAUUUUGACUUGACAACUUGAAUAGGAUUAAAAUCAUGGGCCUCAUAACUUUCCUUUCUUUUAUUUAUUUGUUUCUUUUUCUUUUAACGUUGAAUGCUCCUAUUUUUUUUAUUUUAUUUUAUUUUUUCUCUUCUACUCCUUAAUUGAAAACCCUAGCUAACAUACUCAAUAGCCAUCGAUUUCGGUGUUUAUGGUAGUCUUUCGUACCGAUUUCGACAUCAAAGAAGAGAUUUUCUCUUUCUCAUUGACUUCUACAGUUCAAAUCUCCCAGUAGCCUGCUCCAAAUCUUCUAAAAUAAUAACCAAAACUUCGAACUACUCUUUCUUCGAUCUCUAUUUUGCACUGUCGACUCAUCACCAGUCGGAGAUAUGUUGUUCCCCGUAGUUAAACACACCACCUCACUGUUCAGAUCAUUGAAUGAAGUCAUGGAGCUUUGAACCCAAACAGAGUCAUGGACUUCCACCCCUAACACCCUUUUUUUUUUUCAUUUCAGACCACUUUUUUUAAUUAUAUCAAUGCCUCCUGACACACCGACGACACCAUUAAAAAAUAUUUUUUUGUUCUCUAGUAUACCAGUAUUUUAUCGGAUAUUUUUGAAAAAAUACAUACCGAUGCCACCUAACAUAGUGGCGGUACCAAAAAAAUUUAUUAUUUUUUUAAAAACUCAUGAUUGCUUGAUGUUUUUUUAAAUAAACCGUCCAUUUUCGUAAAUAAUUUUCUCUUGACCCAAUUUCGUAACUACUUUUUUAUAUUAUUUUUGUAAAUAAACCGUUAAUUGGACACUUAAUUGUAUUAUUUUAGGCUUUUUUACCCCAAUAAUACAAAAAAAAAUUAAUAACUUAAAUGGUAUGCCCACCAAAUUAUUUACCAAAAUGGUAUGGCUUGAAUAGUAACCCCAGGUGGUGCUUGGGAAGGUGGCGACACCACCCAACUUUAUCCCUAAAAUCACGACGGCAUCAUUAGGCCAUUAUAAGGUUAUAAAAAAUAAAUAUUUUAUUGAUGGUGUCACCUUAUACGGCGGCAUCAAUAUGAAGAACAAUUGGGUAAAAUACGGGGAAUAUACGUGUUUUAAAAAAUUGUUUUUAAUGAGUGGAGGGGGAAAGUCGGGCAACACCAUUGUUUGUACAAAAAAUAGUAACUCGGGACUGAGAAGCAUGAAAAAUGAAAGUCAAAAAGGGAGGUUUUAGGCCUAAGAAAGAAUAAAAAGGGGUGACCCCGUGAUUCCGUGAUUGUCUGGUCAUGUUCACCAUUGUUUCUAUUUGCUUCUCAAGUGAAUGUCAGCCAUGGAUUUAACUUUCGAACUUUUCUGAUUACAGUCUUUACAAUAACAUACAUCAUCCAAGCAAAUUGGCUGUGGGAGCUGACUUCCAUUGUUUCAAACAUAAAAUCGAGCCCAAGUGAGAAGACCCUGUCUGUGCUAACGGAGGCAAGUGGACUGUAAAUUUCCAGGUUGUUGAAAUUAUUAAGGCAUGUUUUAGUUCAAAAUUCUAAUCAAUAAUAGUUUAUCAUGAUGAUUUUAGAAAAAUUAAUCUUUUGGGGCUCCGAUUUUGAUUAGAUUUAAUUGCUGGUUUUCCUUUUGUAAAAAAUUUUGGAUCAUUUUACUUACUUUACAUUUGCCAUCUAGUUUACUGCCUUAUGUUUUCUGUUAUAAGCUGGCAUCCAGUUUGCCAUGUUUUCUUAUUAAAUUAUUUUGGUCCUUCACAAAUCAAAGACAAUAUAGCAGCCAUACACUAAGUAAAUAUAAUGUUGAGUAAAAUAGAACCAAAUUCAUAAAUUGAAGUGGGAUUUGGAUUAAAUUUUAUUUUUUAAUUAAAAAAUUAGAAAUUAAUGAUGAUACGUUAGAUUAAAUAACAAACUUAUCUUUUUGUAAAAAUUUACUAAAGGAAUCUAAAUAUAAUGUUUUCACGUGUCCUGCCAUCACCAUUUCCGUUAAUUACAGCAUCAACUAUUGCAUAGGAUUCUAAGGACCCAAAUAUAAUAAAUAAUUAAAUUACAUAAUUUUGAGAACACACAAAAUGCCAAUAAUGUUACAUAAUUAAAUUACAAACUUACAUAAUUUACAUAAUUUACAUAACAUACAUAACUUAACAACUUACAUAAUUCACAUAACUUAUAUAAUUUACAUAACUCACAUAACAUACAUAACUUAACAACUUAUAUAACUCACAUAACUUACAUAAUUUACAUAACUCACAUAACAUACAUAACUUAACAACUUACAUAACUUACAUAACUUACAUAAUUUACAUAAGUCACAUAACAUACAUAACAACUCACAUAACUUACAUAACUUAACUAAUACAUGUAGUUUAAUCUAAUAAUUUCCUUAAAAGCAUAUAGCUUAAAGUUCAAAUUUCAUAACUUACAUAAUCUACAUAACUUACAUAAAACAUAAAUAUAUAUCAUAUCAAAACCUACAUAAUAAACAACUUACCUGUGUAAUUUAUUGUCAACUUUAGACUUCAACAACUACGAAAUGGAUAGGACUUGGAUGAAUUUGUCAAGGGCAAGCAACAGCUAUCGAAAUAGAGUACAAACUUUUCCAAAUUUUGCAUUUCAAAAUGCAAGCAGAGAAUAUGAUUCUUUGCCCGUGUAAGAAGUGUGGCAAUAUCAAUUGGAAUUAAAAACGAUCAAUUUGGUUUUACAAUGGUGAAUUUCUCUCGAUUGAUUCACACUGGAGAACAAUUGAUAGACGAGCCAUAUAUGUUUUCUUCUCAAGUGAAACAAGUUUUUUACUCGAAAGAUCCAACUGAUGAGGGUUGGUACGCUGUACCCCGAAACACCUGUAGAGACUUGUUUGACAUGGGCAAUGAAAAUAGAGAUGACAUCGUCAAAAGAUCAGAAACUUUACCUUUUUCAGAACAAAACUUAAAUGAAAAUAUCUCUAGUACUAGUACACAAUUUCAAUGGGUUCGUCAGGAUGUGGAGGAAGAUAUUUACGAAUUAUGAUGUAAGAUUUUACGAUUUUUUAUUUAUAUGUAAUAUUAUAAUUUUAAUCUUGGUCAUGUUAUAUAAUUUAACUAUUUUAUAUGUACUAUUAUUGUUGUUAUUUGUUACUAAAAUUUUAACUAUUUUAUGUGUGUUGUAGGAAAAAUGCGUAGAAGAAGAUUAAAAGAUUUAAGUAUUGUCCAGAAUACUCCAAAUUUGAAAGAAGGAAAUAGUGAACAGCAGACAGUUAUUGGAUCUUCGAAUGUGCCGGAGACACUUGAUGAGCCUGCAGAAUUUCAAAGUAAUGUUAAGUUUAUUUUACAUGAGUGUUGACUUUUAUUAUUGAUUUAUUUUUCAAUUUUAAUAUAAUAAUAUAUCAUUUUUCAGCUGAAAGUGGUGGGACGCGCAGAGGUCGAGGACGUACGCUACUUAAAGAUUUAUACGACUUAAAUCCUGUAGAGCGUGUCAAAGUAAGUAGAAACAGUCAUGGUCAGCCUGUUGGAUCUGAAGCUCGACUUUUAGCAGGCUAUUUGGGCAUUGUAGCACGAAAUACCAAUAUGUUGCCCAUCAACUAUGAAUCAUGGCAUAACAUGCUUGAUAGCAACAAAAAUCAAGCUCUCGAUAAUAUUAAGGUAACAAAACGUGAAUGUAAUUUAUAUUACUUUGGUUUAAGUUUCAUUUAUAUUUACUUUCUAAACUUGUGUUUUUUUAGGAGAGAUUUGCUUUAGAGGUCUCGAAUGACUAUAUCAAGUAGGCAUUGGGUAAAAAAUGGAGAGACCAUAAAAGCACUUUGAAAAAAGAAUAUUUUAAGAAAUACAUAAGCCUCGAAGAUAAAUUACGAAAUGUCCCGCCGGGAAUGCUGAGGUACCAAUGGGAAGAUGCAGUUAGAUGCUGGAAUUCAAAGAAAGGAGAGGUAUUACGUACUUCCAAACUCUUAUAAAUUUUUUAGUUUAUAGUAUUUACUAUAUACGUAAUAAUAAUUUCAUUGUGUAGGACUGUGAGCGAGUUGGAACAAGCAGCAGGCAAAAACAAAAAUUCACGCACACGGUUGGGUCGAGAAGUUUUGCUUGUGUAGUUGAGGCCGAGGUAUUAUGAAUUUAUUAAUUCUGUCAAAUAUUAAUGACUUUCUACUAUUAAAUAAUAUCUUUACUACUAUAUUGUAGGAAGUCUCGUCUGGUCAAAAAGUUGGACGCCUUCAGCUUUUUGACAUUACGCAUAGGAAGAAAGAUGGAUCUCCAAUGACAUCCGAAGCUGGAGAAAUUAUGGUAUAUUUACUUAAUAAAAUUUGAUUAAAUAUUAAUAUUUAUAAUUUUUAAUUAUAAUGAUUUAAUUCGUCAUUAGUAGUUUUAAAUAAUGUUAAGUUAUGUUAUGUUGCAUUCCUUUUUAUUAUAUAUUUCGUUUCUAACUCUUUGAUUAAUUUAUUAGAAUAAACAAAAUGAGAAGAAGGUGGAGUAUGAAGCGAUUGCUUUGACUGAUAGUUUUGUUAAUCUUGAGGACAUAGAUAACAUAAUUAUUACUGAAGUUUUGGGUCUUGAAAGGUAUGGUCGGGUUCGAUUUCGAGGAUCUGGUGUUACCCUGAUCCAAUAUUUUGGAUUCAGCUCCCAGCAAUACAUGCCUUCUGGGAGUCAAGCUCAAGCUAAAGUUCAGAGGUUAAGAGACCAGAUAGCUCAGAUGCAAGCGAGCACAGUUGAACAAAUUGCUAAGGUUCAAAGAAAAUAUGAAGAACUCCAACAACCUAUAGCGAAUGCAGCAACGAGAAAGGCAGCGGCGACAGCGAGGGAGGCAGAGGCAGCAACGAUGGCAACAGAGCAGAGCAGAAAGUACGAUGAGCUCCAGCUACAGCUUCAGCAUACGAUGAAGAUGUUCCAGCAGUCGCAAAAGCCGCCAUCUUAGACCUUUGUUUUCUCGUUGUAAGAAUAUUUUUAACAUUGUCACAUUUAACAUUAUUGUAAGAAUAUUUGAGUUAUACUUCAUUUAUUAAUUUACACUUUAUUUAUUAAUUUACAUCAUAUAUAUUUCGUUGAAUUUGAGGGAUCAUUUAAAUUUAAUGUUUUUGGCUAGAUUUUUAUGCUACAUUUGCUGUUUUUGGUUGGAUUUAAUGCAGGAAGGGUUAGAUAUUGGUGAAAAAGGUCACCUGCAAAUUUGUAAAAAUUAACGGAAUUUGUAGAAAAAGCACCGCUAAAGGUCAUAACUUUUAACGGCGUUUGUGGAUAAAGCGCCGUUAAAAGUCGUGAUCUUUAUCGGCGUUUGUGGAUAAAACGCCGCUAAAAGUUUUGUGGAUAAAGCGUCGCUAAAAGUUGUGAUCUUUAGCAGCGUUUUCAGAAAAAGCGCCGCUAAAAAUCAUGAUGUUUAACAGCGUUUUCCUGGCCACAAAUUUUAGUGGCAUAGUCUUUAGCGGCAUUUUUUGCGGCGCUUAAAAAUGCUGCUAAAGGCCUAAAAAUGCAGCUAAAAAUUUGUUUUGCUGUAGUGUGUCCCUAUUUUUUUAUUCCCCUUAACCCACUAUAUAUAACAUGGUAAGCUAUCGAGUUUAUAAAACAGACAUUUUAAAUCACUUGUUUAUUUUUUAUUGAAAAAAACUUAGUCUAUUUCUGAAAAACUUAAGAGUUAAAAGAAAACCAUUUAAAUUAGCAAACUUAUGUACAUAAGUUUACCUUGUUAGAAAAACGGUUUGAAAAAUGGAAUGAAAAAUAAAUUUAGGGAAAAACCAAUGCUUUAAAAGUUUUCCAAAACAUAAGUUUGGUUGUGAUAUCUAAAGUAAUAAAUACUUAAUCAAAAUUGUACAUCUUCGAUUCGUUUAGGAUGAGCGCUACCAAGUAAUCUUCUCUGCUAUCCUCAAGCUCAUGUCUGUCGAGUGUGGGCUCGCUUCAAACAAAAAGAAAUUCCCAAAAAUUACCAGUGUGGUAAUUUCGUAAUUUCUCUAAACUUUUGGGUGAAGUUGUAAAUCAAAAAAAUAUCUCUAGAAAUUUUAUAGAAUAAUCUCCUCGGAGAAUUUUCUCUCUAAAACUUUUCUCUUGAAUUCAAGUGUGUCAAAUUGUAACGCCCCAAAAAAUUUGAGUGUCUGGUUGUUGGAUUCUAUCGUAAUUAAAUUUUUAUCUCUAUGACUAUGUGCUCAAUUAAUGCAUUUGAGGUCAAUAGUUCAAGUCAUGUUUUAGGAGUUUUGCUAUUUUAAUUUAAACUAACCUCUAUUCCUGAGCUAUUGACUUAAAUUUAAUUUUGUGCGAAUUUAUGUUAAGAAUGAGCUUGUUUGUUCAAUGAUUAAACUUUUAUGUAUCCUUUGGUCUGGUGUUUGAGUCUCGGUAUAAGUGUUAGAGAAUAUUUUUUGCUAAAUAUCGGAAUUUGGAUUGGUGGUUAAAUUCAAAUAAUGCUAUACUUUUCCUCUAUUUCCCAUUUCCUUUCCUUUUGUUUUUCUUCUUUUUUUUUGUUUGUUUCUUUUCCUUUGAUUUCUUUUUAAAAUUUGAAACUUAUUUAAGAUUUGAAAUGAUAAAACAUCAGCGACAAACUUACAGCAUACAAGAUAGCAAAAAGCUCAAAUUGUGUUAGACUCCAGUCUGUUGAUUCAUUCGUCAUAAGCAAUGUUGUUGCUACCAUCAAUUCAAAACCAAAACGAUAGGAUAACACGGUGACAGAUCCCAAAACAAUAGGAUAACAAUUGGUGCCGCCUUUCCCACGGGCACUACCACCCAAACCCGUAUUUAACCCAUGUAAUCAUAUGGGAAAAAUAUUUUGGUGUCGCCUAUCAACAAGGCUGCACCAUUUAAAAAUUGUUUUUUUUUUAACUGUCAAUUGUUUAUGUCAAAAUUUAGGGGUGGUGCCACCUAUGCAUCACCCUCCACCACCCCAAACACCUCAUUUUCAUAAUUAAUUGGGGUGGUGUACCACUUUAGAUAUUUUUAUAUUAUAUAUGUAAAAAAAAAAAACUCGUCUAUCUCACUCCUUCCACCCCACCUGCCACAUUACAACUCCCCAUAAAUUUAUUUUGUAUUAAAUGACCGUAUAUGAUAUUUUUUUAUUAGAUUUUUUAUAAUUCGAGUGCCGUCUCUCUCACAUCCUCCACACUUAAAAAAUUCCUUUUACCCCAUAUAAUUUUGUAAUGAUGUUUCGAUGAUUAAGUCAAGAAAAAAAGUGGUGCCGCCUCCUCAAUGCCCUCCACACCCAUCACUUUUGCAAACAUAUCAUUUUGAUAAAUAAUAAUAUUGGCAUACCAUUAUGGUAUUUAAUUAUUUAUUUUAUAUUACCCAAGUAAAAAUGCCACAAUAUUGUUUUUUUUUUUUUAAGAAAAUGGCUCGAAAGCCACAACCUCAACUAACAAGAAUCAGUAAUUACAAUAUUGUGGAUAUCACUCAGAUAAUCCCAUUCAAAUGACAUAUUGCAAUUCUGAGCUAGAACUAUCCUACUAAGAUAAUAUGCGCCCUUAUUUCUAGACUGUCCGGCCCAUUUAACUACAUAAGUAAUUUAAUGAUUUUACCUUUUAAGUUAAUGGGUAAACUUUUAUUAAAACAAUGUAGUUUUAUAUUUUAACUCGAUAGUUUUUUUUUUAACUUUAACAAAGAUAAACAUUUAUCAAAAUAACGUAGUAACUCGAAUUAUGUAAUUUAUAUUUGAGUUAAACCGAAAAAUAUAAUUUUUUAUUCGAGUUGAUCAGAAUAACUCAAAUUAUUUAAUUCAAAAUUUAAAUCUUUUAUUAAAUUUUUUUAAUCAAAUCAAAUUUUACUCACUCUUAUAUAAUAAUAUAAAAAAAAUUUAAAAUUAAAUUCCUAUAUUCGCAAGGCCUUCAACUGAAGUUGGGCAGUACUAUCUGAGUCGAAAAUGAUAUUGCAUCGAGUGUACAAUUGAAUGGAUGUGUCGACCAGCUAUGCCCGGUCUUCAAGUCCCAACAAAUGCGUGUUAAGUAGGGAGAAUCAAUGGAGAAGAAUUCGGAAGCGUUCACACUGCCCAAUUUCUUUUUUGUUGAUUGGGCAAAUUGAGAUAAUGAUAUUUUUCUUUUUCUUUAUUACUUAUUUAAUUAUAUAUUAAAAAAUAUCAUUCCAUCCUACUGCCUCCUUAUAAAAGAAAGAGAAGAGUGGCAGCCUAUUUACAAAGCCAUCCUUGUAUAAUAUAGUAUUUUCACUCAUUGGCCUAUCCCUCAUGGAAUCCCAUAUUGAGAAACAAAAUGGAGAUGUGCUUCAAAAAUCUUUCAAAGAGCUGAUAUCUACUCUCCCUAAAGGGAAUUGUUGGGGUUUUCCUAUAGAUCUAUAUCAAUAUCAAGGUUUUUGGUUCGGCCCGGCUUUUCUACAAGGAGCAUUGUCAGCUCAACAACAAUUCCAGGCGCAACCCACUGAUAUCAUCCUUUGUAGCUCUCAAAGAACAGGCACAGCCUUGUUAAAAUCCCUCACUUUCGCCACUAUUACAAGAACCUCAUACGAUGAUUCCACCACCACUUUGCUUUCCAAGGGGCAUCAUGAUGUUGUGCCUUUCAUGGAGUUUGAUCAUGCCCAGUUUUCCACUAAUCGACAUCUUGGAAUUCCUCUUUUAGCCACUCAUCUUCCUUAUUCUUUCUUACCCAAAUCUAUAAUUGAUUCUGGUUGUAAACUUAUUUACAUUUGCAGGGACCCCAAAGAUACAUUUGUUUCAUUGUAUCAUUUCAUUGCAGGGCACUGAAAAUCCCAAAAAACUCAACCCAUUCAACUUGAUUAAGCAUUCGAAUUGUUUUAUGAAGGUGUAAGUCUUGAAGGUCGAUAAUCUAUUCAUCAUCCAUUGUUCACUUAAACAUCAUCAGAGUUCGUAAUUAUCUCUUUUAAUAAUAUCACUUUCAAAUAAGGUCAUUUUGGUCGGGAUUUGUAAUUAUCCCGUUUAAUAAUAUUGAUGGGUAUUAAAUCAUUGUACUAUUCCUUUAAUCUUUAGUUGAAGCUCGUUGGUUGAACUUUAACAAUUUUUAAAUAAUUUAAUGAUUUAAAUGAAAAUUUUCGAAUAACGGUCAGAUUUAACAUGUUGAUAAUAAAUAGGGGCCCACUUGUGGGUUGGGUUGGUAAGAGAUAGGAUAAACUUACUAAUUGACCAAUAAUUUUGUGCCAUGUCACCACCAUUACACAAAAAUUAACAAUUUUAUCCUAAACAAAUAUUUCUCAUAAAAUGAUUCUACAAACACAAAUAAUGUGUCUUUUUAGGUGUAUUGGUGUAAUUUUGGUCAAUUUUAUUUUAGCCCCUAUAUUAUGUGUAAAUUGCAUAUUUAAUCCCUAAAGUUUAACCUAGUUCAUUUUUAUAUGUGCUUUUUGAAUUUUGAAAUUUUAAUAUUAACUCAAAUUAUAUCAGUUAAAUUUAUUAGUAGUCUCAUAUUAUCCAUAAGUUGUUGAUUUAAUCUUUGUUCUUCAGUUACCUUAUUUUUAGUCUCUAUACUUCUUGAAUUUUGAAAUUUCAAUUUAGUAGCUGUUAGUGACGGAUCGUGGGGUCUUCAAAAAUUAUGUGAGACUAAUGAGAUUUUACGGAACUUUUCUGAGAAUUUAAUUGAAAUCUUGAAAAAAAAAAAGAGAAGAGAGAGACAAUUUUUCAAAAAUUUAGGAGACUUAAUUAAUUCUUUUUUAAAAAGAUGGUGAUUAAUGAAAAUUUUCAAAAAUUUGAGAGUGGGGCAAUGGCCAAGGCUCCCCUCGACCACUAUUAAUAUUCAUCGUUGGUGGCCGUUACAUCUAUUAACUAAAACAAAAUAGUUUUCUUUGUUAAUAUUAUUUGAAAUUAGCAAAAUAAUGUGACAUUGCACAUGGAAUUAUAUGUCUACGAUAUAAGCUUUGAAAAUAACAUGAUUUAACGACUACCAUUUAUGUCAAAAUUGAAAUUUUAAAAUUUAAAAUAUAUAAAAUUAAAAAUAAUCAAAUUAAAGUACAUAAAUUAAAUCCACAACUUACUCAUGAUACAAAAAUUAAUAGCCAAAAUUUAACUUUUUCGAUUGAUAUCUUGAAUUAUAAUAACACAUUAAAUAUUUGUAAGAAGCUAUAGUAAUUUAAUUUGCAAUGAUAUGAUAAAACUUGAUUAGCUAUAUACAAAAUUUAAUAAAUAAAUAUGCAUUAUAAAAUGUUAAAAAUAAUGUAAGAAAAACGUUUUUAUUUACUUAAAUAUUAUAAUUUUUUAUAUUUAUUAGAUUUUUUUUUUCUAAAAAUUAUUUUUCACAAUACGAAUAUUUCAAUACUCGUAUAGUCAAUUUAAAGUUGUGUCAAAUCACCACUGCUUAAAGGUACAAUCAAUGACAUCUCGAGGUAUUGAAUUCAAGAGUUUGAACUUUGACUAGAAAAUUUAUUUAUCCGUUGUCUUAUUAAUAAGUGGAAUUGUGGAAGUAUAUGAGGUUUUUUUUAUCGAAAUAACAUAAUAAUAAUAAUUAUUUAUUGAUAUGGGAUAAUUUAAUCAUUAUUUACAAAAACGAGGCAAAAGCAAUAGUUUGAUAAAUUGUGUCGCUUGAGCAAUGGACAAUACCACACUCAACUAGCAACAAUCAUUAGGUCAUUGGUUAGAUUUAAAAAAAAAAUUGUACUGGCUGAGCAAUCGAUGGUAUCGAUAUGUAUUGACCAGAAAAAUACAAAUAUUUUUGUACGAACGAAAACAAUAUAACUUUCUAAUGGUGUCACUGACGUCUUAGGCGUCACCAAUAUAAAUUAAUAUUUAAUUACAUUUUUUUAAUUAAUUGAAACAGAUGAAAAAAAGCUUGAAAAUCGAAAGGUAGAACUUGUGACUGACCGGUCACAUUGCUUGAAUGUCGUCUUGCUCCCCCAACCCCUACAUAAACGGUAAUAAUAAUAAAAGUCCCCACCCACAAAAAAAAGGAGUUAGGAUAAAAAAUUGAGUUUUUGUUUGGAGGUUUGAGGAAAAAAGUUAAAAGAUUAUUAAGUUAUGUUAAUUAUUUUUUGUAAUAUUAAAUAUUUUAAUUUUUUAUUUACUUAAAUAUUGUAUUUUUUUAUAUUUAUGAUAACCUUUUUUUUUUCAAAUGUUAUUUUUCAAAAGACGUUAUAUUUCAAUACUCGUAUAUUGAAUUCGAAGUUUUAUCAAAUCACCACAUAUUUAAGAAUUCAAUAUUGUAAACUACAAUUAAUAGUACCUUUCAAGAGUUUGAAUUUUGAUUAGAAAAUUUAUUUAUCAGUUGUCUUAUUAAUAAGUGGAUGUUGGCUCCCAUGAUUAUUUUAAAAAAUGAUAACUUAGAAGAGGUCAAAGCCAUGGAAGAUGGGCAUUUGGCUGAUUCAAACUCCGCCUUGGUUAGAAGGAUUCAACAUAUUUUAUAAAAUUAAGGGCAAUGGUUGUUAAGGUAUGCCUCUAAGAGGGAUAAUCAAGUUGUUGAUUGCCUUGCCAAAUUGCCCCUAGGGCACUUAGUAGUUUUAUCUUCAGAUAGAUCGAGUGGCUCCUUUACCCCUAGAAGCUUGAUGUAGGGUAUUAAUGUAAUUAAUGGGUUUUUAUUAAACCAAUUUUUUUGAAAAAAUACAAAUAUACAUUGAUAAAUAUAUUACAUUUAAAGCCCCAUAUCCAACACUAUGUAGAUAGAUAAAAGUCAUAAAAAGUGGGUAAAUAUAAUAAUAAUAAUUUUUUAAAAUAUUAACUUACUAAUAGUUUAGUGACCUUGAGUAUAAUUUACCCAAUUUUAUGAUUUUGUAUAUGAUUUUUAAUUAAAUUAUUACUAUUGGAGCUCAAUAUCUGAUUGUAAUUUUUAACUAAAAUAUGAUUGAAUACAUUAAAACACCAUCAUUACACAAGAAUUAACAAUUUUAUGGUAAACAAUUUUUUCUCAUAAAACGAUGGUUUUUUUAUUAAAAUAGUAUAAAAAAUUAAUUACAAAAAUAAGAUAGAUUGUAGAUUAAUUAUAAAAAUGGUGCAUUUUCUACAAUAAAAUAUAGAUAACAUUCUUUAUUACAGUUUUAUUUGUCUAUCAAGAUUUUAUCUAUUUUAAAAAGGUGAUUGUUAUGCCAAAACCCUUCUACUUUUCGGGUCGAACCAGAUGGCCCGACCCCUGGACAUAUCUACAUAUUUAUCCUGGCCAGCAACAUUUGUUUUUCUCUCUCCCCAAGAUUUUUCCCUUUCCCUGGCAUAUAUUUCUUUCCUUUCCCAAAAGUUUUUCCCUUUCCCCAACUCCCCAACCCAUGAACGAUUAGUCAUUUGGUGUCGCUCAUCUCUCUCCCUUUACCCCACCUACCAUGAUACAACUCCCCAUAAAUUUAUUUUGAAUUAAAUUAUCGUAUAUGAUCUUUUUUUACUGAGUUUUUGCAUAACUCGAAUAUUGGUGCCGCCUCUGUCACACCCUUCACCCUUAAAAUAUAUAUAUUUUACCCCAUAUCAUUUUAUAAUGAUGUUUCAAUGAUUAAGUCACAAAAAAAAAUGGUUCCACAUUUUCCAUGCUCUCCACCCCUAACUCUAUUGCAAACAAAUCAUUUUGGUAAAUAAUUGUAUUGGCAUACUAUUAUGGUAUUUAAUUAUUUAUUUUAUACCUAGGUAAAAAAGCCACAAUAUUAUUUAACCACAUGAACAAUAUAAUAGUUUUGACUUUUAACUUUAAAAAAGAUAAACAUUUAUCAAAACGACGUAAUAACUCAAAUUGUGCAUUUCAUAUUUGAGUUAAACUGAAAAUUUUGAUUUUUUAUUCGAGUUGAGCUGAAUAACUCAAAUAACUCGAAUUAUUUAAACCAAAAUUUAAAUUUUUUUAUCGAAUCAAAUUUUACUCAUCCUUAUAUUAUAAUAUAAAAAAAUAAACUCUUAUAUUCGCAAGGGCUUCAAAUGAAGUUGGGUAGUACUAUUUGGAGCAUAAUACCAAUUGUCGAAACCAUUUUUUGGAAACGGAGUCGAAUUUGGUUUUGAAAACGAAAAUUGAAAAUAGGGAGUCGCCACCAAUCUUUUUUACUUAGGUGUGAUCGGAUCACCUAGAAAUUUGGUCAUUUUAAUAAAAUAUUUCAAUUUACUAAAACAACGAUUUUGGUCUACGAAAUUUGAGAAAACAGGUUCGGGAUUCGGUUACGUACGAGGAAGGAUUAGCACCCUCGUAACGCCUAAAAUUGGUACCUAAUUGAUUAAUUAAUGUCUUAAUGUCGAAAUUUAAAAACUCGAAAAGAAUUAAAAAUAUGAUCCUCUCUUUUAAUGUUGAUUUUUUUACGAAGAAUUUGCUUGCGUAAAUCGAAACGGAUGUUAAAGACCUUUUUGUCCCGAAGUAAUAAAAUAUCACACCCAGUAAGUUAGGACACAAUAUUUUAAAACCUCGAGAAUAAGCUUGUCUUUUGAUUUUCAAAGUUCAUGCGUUUUAAUUUCAAAAGGUUAUUCGGUCAUUUGGGUCAAACGAAGAAAAUCGAAACCCAGCAUGUUAGGGCACGAUCUCUAGAAUCUCCAAACACGGAAUAUUGCCUUACUUUGAAAAUUUCUCUUUUUAAAUAAUUAUCAAACGUAAGUUUAAAACGACAUGGGCUUAUUUGAAAUAUAAUACAAAGACAACCGAUUAUAAUUAAACAUGGUGCGUGGGGUAAUAAUAAUGCAAUAAUAUAAAACAACUAUACGAGUUAAGUAUAUGAUAAACAAAUGAAUGUUAUGAUAAUACUAAUGGGCUAUAAUAGUCAUAGUAGCAUUAACAAACAAAUUACUAUAACGAAACAUAUAUAUGGAUAAAUAAGGAUGAAAUAAAUAAAUAAUAGAGAGAGCAGUAACGACAAAGUAACAAAUAAAUAAAUAUAAGAGCAAGGGUUUAAAAAUAUUAAUAGUAAAAAACCAAAUUAAAAAAAACAAAAUUUAAGGCGCAAUUUGUAACAAAACAUAUGUGCAAAAUAAUGACGAUGAUAAUAAUUGUAGAGGCCCAAUUUAGCCUGGGGGCCCAUAAACCAGAAACCAAAAUCAAAAAAUAAAAAUAAUAAUAGGAGCAGUCCAUAGCCUAAUAUGCUACAAGCCCAACUAGCGCAAAACUAUUAAAAACCCUAGGGGCCCAAUAGGCCCACUUCCUAAACUAGUUUCAACAAAGCUGAAAUCCUAACCCCUAUGUGCGCCGCCCCUCACGUGGUGUCAGCGCGUUCUACGCCUGAACAGACGCUCCAUCCCAUCGCUUUCGCUGUCACCUACAAACAAGCAAAGAAGAGGACAGAAAGGAAGCAAAGAGCAGUAACAAAAAGAAAAAAGAGAACAGUAGCAGGGAAUAUGUAUUCGGCUAUAUAGCCAGAGACAAAGAAAUGUAAUUUUUUACAGAAAAAAUAUUGGAGCAAUCGAAUACAAAAAAGAAGAAUCAAGGUGGUCUUUCAUCCUUUUUCAUUCCCUUCGCAAGCUUAUUUUCGAAUAUAGCACACAUAUAUACAUACAUAUAUUCAAAAGAAAAAAACGAUUUUCGUACCUUCUGUGAGUCAGGGAAGUCGGAACCGAAGGGUUCCCUUGGCUCUUUCCAAUUUUCUAGAGGUAUUUUUGUAGAUCUAGGGCGAGGGGAGCAAAAAGGGUUAAAAAAGGGUCGAUUUUAUACUUUUGGCUGCCGUAUACGGCGAUCGCCGGCGACAGAUGGACGGUGGCCCGAUCGUCGAAAAUCGCCCAGUCCAGAGCACCAAAACCCUCCCCCUUUCCUUUCUUUUUAUUUAAAAUAGCUAAAAUGUAUUAAAAAAAUGUGACUUAUAUAGGAUGGAAAAACGCACCGUUUUGCCCAGCCUCUUUAAAACGCUGAAACGGCGUCGUUCCAUGGUCAUGACCUGAGACCUGACCCAAGACAGCCUAGGAUCCGCGUGUUUUUGGACCAAAGGUCUAUUUGCGCCCUUGGUCCUUCCGCUUUUGAGGUUGUUUUAAUGUGGUUCUUUCCUUUUUUUCAAUUUCACCACAUUUUAUUUGCUUUAUUUCAAUUUAACCCUCGAACCUUUUCACAGGUCAACACCUGAAACAGUGUCAUUUUGGGACACGGGAAUAUUUCUCAAUUAGUCCCUGCCUUUUGUACUGGCAUUUGAUUUGGCCUUAUUCAUUUUUUUAUUCUUUUAAUUCUUCCCUGGAAUUUGCACACUUUUUCGAAUUGGUCCACGUUAAAACGGUUCGUUUCGAGGUUUGGUUUAUUUGCGUUUUUAAUCACUAUUAGUUUACGCGCAUUGCAUUAUAGUCCUUAAUGAUGUUUUGUAGUUUUAUUUGCUUGUAAAUUAUCCUUCACUUUAUUUUCAUUUCAAUCGGGUCCUUUUUAAGUUUUCUUUAUUUAUUUAUUCAUUUUAAUUAAUUCUUUAUAAAUUCAUUAUUUGUUUUAAUAUAUAUUGCUGGAAUCAUUAUUAUGAUUUAUUCUUGAACAUAUAUUUAUAUUUAUAUUUACUUUUAAAUCUAUUUAUAUAUAUAAUGUAUUUCUUUUAAAAAUCUUAUUUCACUGCAUAUAUAUAUUAUUUUUUAAAUAUUCUCAUCCAUUAUUAUUUUAUAUAUGUAUUAUUUAUAUUAAGUUCUUCACUUUAUAUAUAUUAAUGGUUGAUGAAUAAGCCUUGUUUUGAAUUACGUUAUGUAAUCAUUGAUCUUAUAUUAUAUAAAUUAUUAUUCAUAUAUAUUCUUUUGUAGAUUUUUAUAAGACUGUAUUUAUAUAAUUUAUGUUAAAAUUUUUUAAUAUGUACAAAAUUUAUUUUAAAACUUUCAUAUGAGCAUACAUUUUAAUUUUUAUGUGCAUAAUUUAUAUUAUAUUUUGAUGUAUAAAUCUUAGUUUUAAAUGGUUUUGUGUAGCACUAAUUUUAAAUUUCUUUGUAUGAUACUUAUUUUGAAGUUCAUUCAUAUGUUAAACUCUAUAUUUUAUGUAUUAUUUAUUUUUAUUUUUAUUUAUUUUACGAUCUAUUGUAAAUUUUUGCAUGUAUUAUUUGUUUAUAUACAUAGAAUUUAAUUACUUUUAAAUUGUUUGUUUUACCUUGUCGAUUUCAAGUUUAUUUGUUUUAACAUUGCUUAUUACCUUUUAAAAGUUUUUUUUAAAAUAGAUUUUUAUUUAAUCAUUAUUUAGAAACGUUAUAUAGUGUAUGUAGUAAGAUUAUUAUCGUUGGGCGUGUUUUGAUUUUCAUGUCUGUAUUUCUCAAUAAUUUGUAUAAUAUGUUAUUCAUGUAUGUUUUCCAUAUUUGUUAUUUUGUUUUGCAUUUCCAUGUAUUGUAUUAUUAUUGAGGUUGCCAACUUAUUUGCCUGAAAUUAUUCAUUUCAUUUUCUUUGCUUCAAACGAAUCGAAUAAAUAUAUUUCAAGUCUGUUUUCAUAAUUGCUUUUUUUUUUAAAAAUUCGCAAAGCGAGGUAAUAUUUCGUGUUUGGUAAUUCGAGAAAUCGUACCCUAACGUGUUGGGUUUCGAUUUUCUGUUUGACCGAAUAACUAAAUAUUCUCUCAAGAUUUCGUCUAUGUUUUCUUAAAUUAAAAAUAAGGCAAUAUUUUGAAUCUAGAAAAUUUGAGAAAAUCGUACCCUAACUUACUAGGUUUCGAUUUUUCUCGUUUAACCUAAAUAACCAAAUAUCCUUUUAAAAUUUAAAUACAUGAUUUUUGAAAUUUAAAAGACAAGCUUAUUCUCGAUAAAUUAAAAUGUCGUGUCCUAAUGCGCUGGAUGUGACAUUGUAUUACCUCGGGACAAGAAGGUCUUUAGCAUCCGCUUUGAUUUAUCCGAGCAUUUUUGUAAAAUUAACAUUCAUAAAAAAGGAUCGUAUUUUAAAAUGUAUUUUGAAAUCUUUUCAACUUUCGACAUUAAGACGUUAAUUAAUCGAUUAGGUACCAAUUUUGGGCGUGACGAGGGUGCUAACCCUUCCUCGCACGUAACCGACUCCCGAACUCGUUUUCUCAACCUUCGUAGACCAAAAUCAUUUAUUUUAAUAAAUCAAAAAUGUUUUAUUAAAACGACCAAAUUUCUAGGUGAUUCGAUCACACCUAAAUAAAAAGGAUUGGUGGCGACUCCCAUGUUCAUUUUUUCAUUUUCAAAACCAAAGUCGAUCCUCGUUUUUUCAAAAAAAUGGUUUAGACAAUAAUAAUAAUAAUAAACAUAUAAUAAUAGGAAUGACAAUAAUAAUAUUAUAAGUGAAAACCUAAAUAGUUUGAUUUAUAAAAGUAUACAAAGAAUGGGUAACAAAUAAACAAAUGAUUACAUAAUAAUAAUAAUAAUAAUAAUAAUAAUAAUAAUAAUAAUAAAAUCAACCCCUUUUUAACCCUUUUGCUCCCCUCGCCCUAGAUCUAGACUAAACAAAAAAGCAAAAAACACCUUCAGAAAAUCGGAAAUAGUAAAGGAACUCUUCGGUUCCGACUUCUCCGACUCACAAAAGGUACCAAAAAUUUUAUUUCUUUUGAAUGUAUAUAUAUAUGUAUGAGUGCUAUAUUCAAAAAUAAAUUUGCAAAGGAAAUGAAAAACCGAACGAAAGACCACCUUUUUUUUUUCUUUUGAAUCUGUUUUUGUUGUUUUUUUUAUUAAUCCUCAAUCUCUGCUUCUACAACCUAUUUUUUUUGGCUUUAUAGCCGAUUUUACAAUCUUUCUUGCUGCUGUUCAUGCUACUCUAUUCUGCUAUGCUAUUGUUUCCUUUUCUUUUGUUUCUUUGCUGUCAACUUUUUACUUUUCUAUCCUUUUUUUCGCUGUUUUUUCCUUUUUUUUUUGUUUGCGUGUUGAUUUAGCCUUGGCAAGUGUCAGAGGAGCACCAGAGGCGUAUGAGGCCAGUGAUGGCAGUGGAGGCGCAUACGGGGAGGGCUGAAGUGACCUGGUGCGGCGCCUAGGGUUUUCCCUUCCCUUCUUUUGCUGAAAAAUAUUUAGUGGGCUAGGGUUGAUUUAGGUAGUGGGCUGAUGUGGUUUUAAUUUUUUUUUGAGCUAUGGACUGUUAAAACUUUGGGCCUAUUGUAAAAACUUGGACUGAUAAAUUUCAUUAAAAGCCCGGGUAAAAUUGGGCUAUUACACCAAUAAAGGCCCAUUUCCAAAAUUAUUUAUGGAAAUAGGUUGCUUCUAAAAAUAAUUAUAGGUAUAGAUUGAAAAUCCAAAAAUGCACUGACAAGGACACGUUUUUCCUUGUGUCAAGCAAAAGCACGCUGACAUGGAUGCAAUUUUUUGAAAAUUUAUGAGAACAAGUCAAUAUAAAGACCCAAAGUGGCAACACUAUUUUUUUGUGCCAUCAAUUAAUGUGGAAAUAAAACUUACAAAACAUAUCUUUACGUAGACCCAAAGUCUUAUUUCCCUUAUUUUCUUAAGCAAUGUGUAAUGUAAGAUAUGUGUUUAUAUAGAUUCAUGAAUAAGAUUGCAACUUGUUCUUACAUAAUGUGGAAUUCCUUCCUCUUUUAACUAACAACUUAAUGCUACACUAUAUUUUAUAUCUUUUUACAAAACAAAUUCUAUUUUUUUUUAUUUUGUUAAAAUUUUCUCAUAUUAUAAAAUCACCUUUUGAGGUUUUUAAUCCUUAUGCAUUUUAGGAUUGUUAGCAUAUACAAAAUGACCAUAAUAAAAAAAGAAAAAGGAAUACCAAUUGCACAUAUGAAACUUGUAUAUGCAAUAAUCUUCUAUUCAAUUUUAAAUGUUUGAAGUUAAUAUUCAUGCAAUUCUAUUUUUUAAAAAUAAUUUUCUAUUAUUUCAAUUUAGAAGUUAUACAUAAAAUAUGAUAACUAUUUUUCAUAUUUUUAUAUCUAGAUUAAAUUACAUUAGUAGUUACUUAACUAUGAUUUUUUUACUAUUGAAUUAUAAAAGCUUACAAAAUGAUCACUCAGCUAUUAGUACUACUUUUUGGUCACUCAAUUAUCUUGAAUUUUGAGGGAUGUAGCAAAAAGAACAAGAAGAAGAAGAAGAAGAAGAAGAAGAAGAAGAAGACAAAUUUGAAUAAUUUAAUGAUAAUUUUGUAACUUUUUAUAAACAAAUUAUUCAAAAAAUAUAAUUAAAUGACUAUUUUAUAACUAUUUUAUAAAUAACUAUUUUAAAUAUUUUUUUAUUAUUUUACUAUACUCAUUAAUUUUUUAAUCCUACAAAGUUUUUAAAAAAGAGAUAUCAAUUUUUUAAAAUUACAAAAAAAAAUAUACAAUCUGAGUACCAAACAAUUUUGAAAUGCAACAAAAUUAAAGAUCUCAAAAGAUAAUUUUAUAAUAUAAGAAAUGUUAACAAAAUAUAAAAAAUAGAAAUUAUUUUGUAAAAAAUAUAAAAUAUAGUGUAGCCUUUAAUAUUAUGUUGUUAGUUAAAACAGGAUAGAAUCCCACAUUGCUUAGGAAUAAGCUGCAAACCUAUUCAUGGGUGUAUAGCAAAAUUUAUUUUGUAAGUUUUAUUUUUCACAUUAAUUAGUGACAUCAAAAAAUUUAAAAAAAUAAUAUUUUCAUUUUCGAUUUUUAUAAAGGCUUAUUCUCAUAAUUUUUAAAAAAAACUUAGUCUAUCUUGAUAAUACUUUAAAAAAUAAUCUUUAUUGAGAAUUUAGUUUGAAACAUAUUCAUCAGCGUGUUUUUGAAUUUUCGAUUCAUAUCUAUAAUUAUUUUUUGGAGUGGUCUAUUUCCCUAAAUAAUUUUGAAAGGUGAGGCAUCGGGUGUGCACUUGAAUGGAUGGGUCGACCAGCUCUGCCCUGUCUUCAAGUCCUUACGAAUGCGUGUUAAGUAGGGAGAAUCAAUGGAGAAUGAGACAGCGUGCAAACUGCGCAGUUUCAUUUUUGUUGAUUGGGGAAACAGAGAUAAUGAUGUUUUUCUUUUUCUUUUUCUUUAUAUUUUCAUUUUAGUAUUUCUUUAUAUAUUAAAAAAUAUCAUUCCAUCCACUGCCUCCUUAUAAAAGAAAAAGAACAGUGGCAGCCUAUUUACAAAGCCAUCGUUGUAGAAUAUAGUAUUUGCACUCGUUAGCCUGUCCCUUAUGGAAUCCCAUAUUGAGAAACAAGAUGGAGAUGUGCUUCAAAAAUCUUUCAAAGAUAUGAUAUCUACUCUCCCUAAAGGGAAUAGUUGGGGUUUUCUUGGAGAUGUAUAUCAAUAUCAAGGUUUUUGGUUCUCCCCGCCAUUUCUACAAGGAGCAUUGUUGGCUCAACAACAGUUCCAGGCUCAACCCACUGAUAUCAUCCUUUGUAGCUCUCCAAGAACAGGCGCAGCUUGGUUAAAAUCCCUCACUUUCUCCACUAUUACAAGAACCACAUACGAUGAUUCCACCACCCCUUUGCUUUCCAAGAUGCCUCAUGAUGUUGUGCCUUACAUGGAGUUCGAUCAUAUCUAGUUUUCCACUAAUCGACAUCUUGGAAUUCCUCUUUUAGCCACUCAUCUUCCUUAUUCUUUCUUGCCCAGAUCUAUAAUUGAUUCUGGUUGUAAACUUAUUUACAUUUGCAGGGACCCCAAAGAUACAUUUGUUUCAUUGUAUCAUAUCGUUGCUAGGUACAACAAAUCCCAAAAUACUCAACCCAGUCAACUUGAUGAAGCGCGUUUCAAGAAGGCGUCAGUCAGUUUGGGCCUUAUUAGGACCAUGUUUUAAGGUACUGGAAAGCAAGUUUGGAACGUCCAGACAAGUUAAUGUUCUUGAAAUACGAAGAUUUGGCUGAAGAUACUGUUUUGUAUCUUAAGAAAAUAGCAGAGUUUAUGGGUUAUCCUUUCUCAUCAGAGGAACAACAACAAAAUGUGCCUGAAAACAUUGUGAAGAUGUGCAGUUUCGACAAUUUAAGUGGCUUGGAAGUAAAUAAAACCGGGAGACAUCGUGAAGGGUACGAAAAUUUGAGGAUAGAAAAUAACAUUUUCUUUCGGAAAGGGAAGCCUGGAGACUGGAAGAAUUAUUUGACCACUGAAAUGGCUCAACGUUUAGACCAACGAACAAUGCAAAAAUGGAGCAGUUCAGGUUUAAGUCUGUAAUUGAAGGUCGAUAAUCUAUUUAUCAUCCAUUGUUCACCUAAACUGGAUCAUAGUUCGUAAUUAUAUCUUUCAAUAAUAUUAUCUUCAAAUAAGGUUAUCUUGGUCGGGAUUUGUAAUUAUCCCAUUUAAUAUUAUUGAUGGGUAUUGAUCUAUUGUACUAUUCCUUGAAUCUUUAGUUGGAGCUCAUUGGUAGAAUUUUAUCAGUUAAAUGACUUAAAUAAAUAAAAGUUUUUAAAUAAUUUAAUGAUUUAAAUGAAAAUUUUUAAAUAACUCAAUGAAUAUUUUUCAAAAAUUAAAAAAAAAAGGCAUAAUGGGAUUUUUAAAAAAAAAAACUUAGGGGAACUAAUUAAAAUUAAAAAAAACUAAUUUAGUAAGAAUUUUUUAAAAAAAUUAGGGUCUAGUCAAUAUUUUUAAAAAUUAUGAUUUUACGAAACUUUUAAGAGAAUUUAAUUAAAAUGUUUUAAAAAAUAAAAGACAAGAAUUUCUAAAAAUUUAGGAGAUUUAAUUAAUUCUUUUUAAAAGAGUUAGUGGUUAAUGAAAAUUUUCAAAAAUUCGAGAGUAGGGCAAUGUCCCAAGGCUCCCCUCAACCACCAUUAACAUUCGCUAUUGGUGGCAGUUACAUCUAUUAACUAGAACAAAAUAGUUUUUUUUUUGUUAGUAUUAUUUAAAAUUAGUAAAUUAAUGUGACAUUGCACAUAGAAUUAUAUGUCUAUGGCAGAAGCUUUGGAAAUAACAAGAUUUAACUUAACGAUUUAAUAAUUACUAUUUUGGUCAAAAUUGAAAUUUCAAAAUUCGAAACAUAUAAAAUUAAAAAUAAUCAAAUUAGAACACAUAAAUUAAAUCCACAAUUUACUUACGAUACAAAAAUUAAUAGCUAAAAUUAACUUUUUUUUCAAUUGAUAUCUUGAAUAUCUAUUUAUAAUAACACAUUAAAUAUUUUUAAGAAGCCAUAGUAAUUUAAUUUACAAUGAUCUGUUAAGACUUGAUUAGCUAUAUACAAAAUUUCAUAAAUAAAUAUGCAUUAUAAAAUUUUAAAAAUAAUGUAAAAAAAAACUUUUUAUCUACUUAAAUAUUGUAAAUUUUUAUAUUUAUUAUAACGCUUUUUUUUCCAAAAAUUAUUUUUUACAAUACAAAUAUUUCAAUACUCGUAUAUUCAAUUCAAAGUUUUGUCAAAUCACCACUGCUUAAAAGUACAGUCAAUAAUAUCUCGAGGUAUUGAAUUUUUUACUAGAAAAUUUAUUUCUCCAUUGUCUUAUUAAUAAGUGGAAUUGUGGAAGUAUGUGAGGUUUUUUUAUUUAAAUAAUAUAAAAAAUAAUUAUUUAAUGAUAUUGGAUAAUUUAAUCAUUAUUUACAAAAUGAGGCAAAAGUAACAGUUGACAAUCGGUGUCACUUAGCAAUUGACAAUACCACGCUCACCUAGCAACAAUCAUUAGGUCAUUGCUUAGAUUUUCUAAAAAUUAAUUUUUUUCGUGCUGCCUGAGCAACUGGCGGUAUUAGUAUGUAUUAGCCAAAAAAAUACAAAUAUUUUUGUACGAACGAAAAAAAUAUAACUUUUUAAUACUGUCACUGACGUGUCAUACGUCACCAGUAUAAAUUAAUAUUUAAUUAUAUUUUUUAAAUUAAUUGAAACAAAUGAAAAAAAGCUUGAAAAUUGAAAAUUAGGUAGAAUCUGUGACUAACCGGUCACCUCGGUGCAAGUCGUCAGGCCGAUGUCCCUAUCCUUCCCCAACCCCUACAUAAACGGUAAAAAAAAAGUUCCCACUCACAGAAAAUUGAGUGUUUGUUUGGAGGUUUGAGGAAAAAAAACUAAAGAUUAUUAAGCUAUGUUAAUUACUUUUUGUAAUAUUAAUAUUUUAUUUUUUUAUUUAAUUAAAUAUUAAGUGUUUUGUAAUUUUUUAUUAAGAUUAUUUUUUUUCCAAAAGUUAUUUUUCAAUAGACAAUUAUAUUUCAAUACUCGUAUAUUGAAUUCAAAGUUUUAUCAAAUCACCACAUAUUUAAGAGCACAAUAUUGUAAACUACAAUUAAUAGUACCUUUCAAGAGUUUGAAUUUUGAUUAGAAAAUUUAUUUAUCAGUUGUCUUAUUAAUAAGUAGAUGUCAACUCCCAUAAUUAUUUUAAUAAAUGACAGCUUAGAGGUGGUCAAAGUCAUGGAAGAUGGGCAUUUGGCUAAUUCAAACUUCGCCUUGGUUAGAAGGAUUCAAAAUAUUUUACAGAAUGAAGGGCAAUGGCUGUUAAGGUGUGCCUCUAGGAAAGAUAAUCAAGUUGUUGAUUGCCUUGCCAAAUUGUCUUCUGACAAUAAGGAAUGUGUGUAGGUCUUCGCUAAGGUCCCUAGAAUCUUAGUAGUUUUAUCUUCAGAUAGAGUGAGUGGCUCCUUUACCCCUAGUAGCUUGAUGUAGGGUAUUAAUGUAAUUAAUGAAUUUUUAUUAAACCAAUAUUUUCGAAAUAAAAAUACAAGUAUACAUAGACAAAAAUAUUACAUUUAAAGCCCUAGAUUUAACACUAUGUAGAUACAAAAAAGUCAUAAAAAAUGGGUAAAAAUAAAAAGAAAUGAUUUUUUAAUAAAACCCACUUAUGCAUUAAAAUUGAAGAAGACAAGUUACACCCUUCCAUACAUGUAGCCUAUCUAUUGGCCACCUAAAUGGCUACUGGGAUUUUGCGAAACAGUUGGAAAAUUAAACAACACUAGAAAUAAAAACCACAAAAGGAAACCAACAAUCAAAACAUGAAAAUAAAACCCCCUAGAUCCCAAAUUUCUUCUCCAAAACAUUUAACCCUCAUGAGCACCAGUAGAUUGCAAGGAACCCAGGCCAAAAGAAUAUAUUCCGAUGCUAGUAGCUUGGAAAUCCUCUCAAUCGACCUUGAUUUCAUUAGACAUCCUCCUCUUAUGCUCCGGACUCAGCCAUCAAUCUCGGUCAAUUCUUCCACUCCCCCUCCUGUCCACACAACAACAAUCCUUUCUACCUCCCUAAAAACUUCCUUUAUCCAAUACAUUGUCCGAUCGUGCUUCCUACCCUCCAUUGACAUCACAUGUGUCGCCUCAUUCACUUCUCUAAGUACGAAUCUGAACUCUACAAUCCUAAAUCUACUGCUUCUCCCUUUAAUUUCUGAAAUGAUAGUACUGAUUCUUGAUUUGUCCUCCUCUCUCGAUUCCAGUGUCCAAAUGAUGGUCAAAGCAUCCCCCUCAAUGCAUACAUCUUGAAACCCUAACUCUUCCACAAAGGCGACCACCUUCAAACAUGCUCUUGCCUCCGCCAUGGUCAGGUCCACAACAUUCUCCUACGGGUAAGUGCACGAGACCAUAACCAAACCCUCCUUAUUUCGUGUUGUAAUAUCCGAAUGUGAGAUAAACCAUAAUAUAUACAUAUUUUUACCCCAUGCUUGGUGUAUUUAUGGAGGAUUUUUCUUUGGUUUCAUUGAAUUUGAUGCUCCUAAUCCUUUAAAUUCAUGUUUUAUACUUAAGUGAGCAUAGGAAGGCGAAAAGAGCAAGAAACGGGCCAAAAACGGACCAAAUGGGCCUAAAUCAGUGUUUCACACUGCCUAGGCACUUCCACACGGGUAAACCACACGCCUGUGUGUCAUGGCCGUGUCGACUAGAAACCAACUCAGAAUUACACACGGCUUGAGCACUUUCACACGGGCGUGGCACACGGCUGUGUCCCUGUUAAACCUAAGUCUAAUUCUAUUCGAAAAAGGCUAAUUUUGGGCUAUUUUGGGCAUUUCAAAGUCUAUUUAAACACCCUAGAAGAGGAUUAAAGGAGACACGCAGGUAGAAGGCAGGAAAUACCUAAAGAUAGCCAUCGAAAGCAGGAUCUACUUCAAGACUGAAGAUCUCCAUUCAAUUUCCUUAGAAGUUCUUUGGGUUUCUUUAUGUUUUUUUUUUGUUUUUCCAAUUUUGAGAUGUUUUCCAUUAUUAUGAACUAAACUCCAUAAAUACCUAAGGGAGAUGAAACCUAAGACGAAUCUUAUUACUAUUUGAAUUAUAUGAUAAAUACUUGUUCUUAUUCUUAAUUGUGAGUUUUAAAUCCUUGUUUUAAUAUUCCAGGAUAUUAAUUCAAGUUUUGAUGUGCUUAUUCAGUGAAGCAAAAAUCCCUAUUUAAGAGUAGAUCUCCAUAAUUAAGCGGAGUUGCAUGCAAUCCUAGAGAUAGGACGACAUAAAUCUGCCGGAUUAGAGUCAAAUCUAAUAAGGGAAUCCAUAAAUCGUGUUAAUGCGACAAUAGGGGUUUUAAUUAGAAAGAGAUUUCAAUUAAUCAAGCUAGAGUUAGUUGUUUUUAGUCUCAAGAGAGAUAUUAACAUAAAUCAAGGAUUUCUACGGAUUAAGUCAAGUGAAUAAAUCGUCUAAUUCAGAAGUAAUAAGUGAAGUCUAGGUGAAUUCUUCCUUGGGUAUUGUCUUCUUCAUCGGUUUUCUAAAAGUAUUUUACAGCUUUAAUCUCUGUCUUAAUUUUAGUUAAUUAAAUAAUUAGUCUUAGUUUCAAACCUCCCUUAAUUAUUAGGCUAGAUAAUAAAAAGAUAGUAAUUACUAAUACUCUUAGUCCUUGUGGAUACGAUAUUUCCGGUCUCACCAUAACUAUACUACUAUUCGAUAGGUGCGCUUGCCUUAGUCAAAUUUUUAGUUAGUUUAGCGACCAUCAAUGUGAUAAUCUCAACUGUUGGUGAAAAGAAUUAUCAAAAUUAAAUUUGAUAAUCUCCCCCUCUAGUGGCUCCCAACUAGUAGGCCUUGAUAUAUGCAUAGGACAAGAAAGAUCAUUUAACUACUCUAUUUCUAGCAUGUAUAAACCCGAUAACAUCUUGGAUUCGAUCCCUAACCCCAUCAUGGUAAAGGUAAAGUUUGUUACGGUUAUGGAAGAUAGCCCAAAAAGAAAUAGCAAGCAAUCUACAUACCAUUAUACUGCAUUUCAUUACCUCCUCCUUUAACCAUUGUUUCCAAUUUUGUUGCAUGUUUACUGCCGAAAGCUUCACCCUAAUUCCCUCCGUCACUUACUUUGAGAAGGCACAAUCACUAAUGUAAAGGCCCAAAUUUGCCCUGGGCCCAACAAGCCCAAAUUAGACAAAAAAAAACAAACAAAACAAAAAAACCAAUCAAAAUUACAGCCCAAAAAUUAAAACCUAUAUCAGACCCAAAACCCAAUUUACAAACCCUAACAGCCCAAGCCCACAACAUAAACAAAUUUUUCAGAAAGCAAACCCUAGCCUUUGACCUAGCUACGCAGCCGCUCCUCCCAUGUCAGCCCCCGUCCCAUCGCCCGUACCACCAACUCCUCUGCCACCCCUGCAAGGAAGAAAACACGCAACAACAGAGAGCAGUGGCUAAACGAUAGCAAAAUAGUAACCUAUAACAUGUAAAUCGGCUUUAAAAAGCCGAAUAAUGAAUGUAAAAUGGGGGAUUUUGGGAAUAAAAAAUCAAGAGAUUGUGAAUGUAAAAUCAGUGUUUUCAAACACAUAUUUGAAUACAAAAAAAAACAGCAAGCACUGAAGGAAAACAUACAUGUUUUCUCUAUUUAAAAAAAAAACAGUAUAUAUAUAUUUAUAUAUAAAUAUAGCAAAAAAAUAAAUAAAUUUACCUUUAUUCAAGCUGAUCCGAAUAAUUCAAAUAACUCAAAUAAUUUAAUUCAAAAUUUAAAUUUUUAUCAAAUUUUUUAAUUAAUUCGAAUUUUACUCAUCCCUAUAUUAUAAUAUAAAAAAAUAAACUCUUAUAUUAGCAAAGGCUUCAAAUGAAGUUGGGCAAUACUAUCUGGGGCAUAGUACCAAUAAAGGUUGAUUUCCGAAAUUAUUUAUGGAAAUGAGUUGCUUUUAAAAAUAAUUAUAGGUAUGGAUUGAAAAGUCAAAAAUGAGCUAACGAGGACACAUUUUUCCUCAUGUCAAGCAAAAGCACACUGACAUGGAUGUAUUUUUUAAAAAAAUCGACCAUAAUAAAAAAAAGAAAAAGAAGAACAAAUUGCACGUAUGAAACUUGUACAUGCAAUAAUCUUCUAUUCAAUUUUAAAUGUUUGAAGUUAAUAUUAAUGCAAUUCUAUUUUUUAAAAUAAUUUUCCAUUAUUUCAAUUUAGAAGUUAUACAUAAAAUAUAAUAAUUAUUUUUCAUAUUUUUAUAUCUAGAUUAAAUUACAUUAGUACUCACUUAACUAUGAUUUUUUUACCAUUGAAUUAUAAAAACUUACAAAAUGAUCACUCAACUAUUAGUAUUUUUUUUUGUCACCCAAUUAUCUUGAAUUUUGAGGUAUGUGGCCAAAAAAAAAAAGAAGAAGAAAAAUUUGAAUAAUUGAAUGACAGUUUCAUAAACAGAUGAUUCAAAAACACAUAAUUAAAUGACUAUUUUAUAACAUUUUAUAAUUAAGUGAUAAAAACUAUUUUCAAUAUUUUACUAUACUCAUUAGUUUUUUAAUCCUAAAAAAAAUUUAAAAAGAAAAGAUAUCAAUUUUUUAAAAUUAUAAAAAAAUAUACUAUCGGAGUACUAAACAAUUCUAAAAUGCAACAAGAUUAAACAUCUCAAAAGAUAAUUUUUAUAAUAUUAGAAAAUAUUAACAAAAUAUAAAAAAUAGAAAUUAUUAACAAUUUUUUAAAAAAAAUUACAUUGUGACACGAAAAAGGUACCUGGUGUCGGCCAUCUAUUGGCCAGCACAAAAAAAAAAAUUUACAUAUGUGGUGUUGGCCAUUACAUGGCCAUUACAUGUAAUUUUUAAAUAUAUAUAUAUAUUUAUAUAUAUGAAGGUGAGAGAAAAUAGCAAAGUGUGUGUUUUAAUUUUAUUUUUAAUAUAUAAUUACUUAUAUAACUCUAUUGAUAUUUUACUUUUGUUUAUUUGAUAUAUUAAGUAUUUGAUUAAAUUGAUGUCAUAAGUUAAUUGAGAUUUUUUUUACAAAAAUAAUAUAAAAAUAAUUAAUUAGAAAAAUAGGUUAGAGAAAAAUUAUUUACGAAAAUGUAUUGUUUUGAAUAAUCCUUGUCAGUACUACUUAACACACCGACGACACCACCCCAUUUUCCCAAUUCAUCAAACAAUUAUAAGUUUUUUUUUUAAUUGUUCCGCCAUAAUGUUAGGCAUUAUCGGUAGGUAUGUUUUGAAAAAUACCUAAGAAAAUACAAGUACACUGAGGAAUAAAUUUUUUUUUUAAUGAGUGUCGCUGAUAGCCUAACCUCACCACUUUAAUUGUAUUUUAAAAAAUUACGUCUUGGUUUGAGUACUUUUAAUGCUUUUAUUUUGUUAUUCAAAUUUCCAUGUUAAAAUCCAGCUUAUUUAAAUUUUGACAGGCAAAUUUAAUAGGAUUAAAAUUGUGGGAAUCAUAACUUUCUUCUUUUAUUUUUUUCUUUCUUUUUCUUUUCAUGUUGAAUGCUUCUAUUUUUUAUUUUAUUUUAUUUUUUUCAUUUUUCUCCUUAAUUGAAAACCCUAGUUGACAUACACGAUAGCCACCGAUUUUGGUGUUUAUUGUGGCCUUUUGUGCCAAUUUCAACACCAAAGAAGAGAUGUUCUCCUUUUCAUUAACUUCUACCGUGUAGAUCUCCCAGUCGUCGACUUUAAAUCUUCUAAAAUAAUGACCAAAGCUUCAAACUACUCUUUCUUCAAUCUCCAUUUUGCACUUUUGAAUCUUCACCAGUUGGAGAUAUAUUGUUCCCCAUAGUUAAACACACCACCUCACUAUUUAGAUCAUCGAAUGAAGUCACAAAGCUUUGAACCCAAACAGAGUCACGGGCUUCCACCACUAACACCCUAUUUUUUUGUUUUUGUUUUUCAUUUUAGACCACUUUUUUUAAAUAUAUUGAUGCCGUUUGACACAUCGAUGACACCAUUAAAAAAUAUUUUUUCAUUCUCUAGUAUACUUGCAUUUUUUCAUGUAUUUUUUCAAAAAUACAUACCGAUGCCACUUGACACAAUGACAGUACCAAAAAAAAUAUUUUUUUAAAAAGCUCAUGAUUGUUUGAUGUGUUUUUUAAAUAAAAAGCCCAUUUUCGUAAAUAAUUUUCCCUUAACCCAUUUUCGUAACUACUUUUUUAUAUUAUUUUUGUAAAUAAAACGUUAAUUGGACAUUAAUUGUAUUAUUUUAGGAUUUUUUACCCCAAUAAUACAAAAAAAUAAUUUAAUAACUUAAAUGGUAUGCCUACCAAAUUAUUUACCAAAAUGGUAUGGUUUGAAUAGUAACCUCAGGUGGUGCUUGAGAAGGUGGCGACACCACCUAACUUUAUCCCUAAAAUCAUGACACCAUCAUUAGGCCAUUAUAAGGUUAUAAAAAACAAAUAUUUUAUUGGUGGUGUAACACCCCUUACCCGUAUCAGAUGCCGGGACAGGGUACAAGGCAUUACCGGGCUUAAACACGCUUGAACAUCUUAAAUCGGGCCAUAGAGUUUCAUUCAAAUUUAAAAAUUUUUUAUUCAUAUUCAUAACGUCCCUAUCAUGGGCCUACGAGACCUUAAACAUACUUUGGAAGUGGUUCGGGACUGAACCGAAAACUUUCGAGUACUUAGAAAAUUUUUACUUAAAUUAACACCCCCGUGUGGGUAGGCUGUGUGGUCGCACACGCCUAUGUCGCUAGCCCGCGUGGAAUUUAUUCUCAUUUAGAACCUACAGGAGUUUUCACACGGCUAGGCACACACCCAUGUCUGAUGGUCGCAAAACUAACUAUAAAUUCGACUAAGGCAAGCGCACCUGUCGAACAGUAGUAUAGUUAUGGUGAGACCAGAAAUAUCGUAUCCACGAGGACUAAAAAUACUAGUAUUAACCUUCUUUUUAUUAUCUAGCCUAAGAAUAAGAGUGUUCGUUUUUAAACUAAAACUAAUUAAUUAAACUAAAAAUGCACAGAAGGUAAAUUGGGGAAAUACUUUUUGGAAAAACUGAUUGAUUUAGACAACACCUAAGGAAGUAUCUACCUAGACUUCACUUGUUAUUUAACUCUGAACUAGACGAUUUAUUCACUUGACUUGAUCCGUAGAAAUCCCUAAUUUAUAUUAUUAUCUCUCUCGAGACUAACAACGUCUAACCCUAGGUUGAUUAAUUGAAAUCUCUUUCUAAUUAAAACCCCUAGUGUUGCAUUAACUCGAUCUAUGGAUUCCCUUUUUAGGUUUGACCUUAAUUCGGCAGAUUUAUGUCACCCUAUGUCUAGGGGUGCAAUCAACUCCGCUUAAUUAUGCUAGAUCUACUCUUAGACAGGGACUUUUGCUCCUCUGAAUAAGCACAUCAAUACUUGAAUCAAUAUCCUGGAAUAUUAAAACAAGAAUUAAGAAAACAUAAUUAAGAACAAGUCAAAUAUUUAUCAUAUAAUUCAGAAAAUAAUAACAAGAUCCAUCUUAGGUUUCAUCCCCCUUAGGUAUUUAAGGGAUUUGGUUCAUAUGUGUAAAAGAAAACAUCUCCAAAGAAUAAUAAUAACAAAACAUAAAGAAAACCCAAAAACUCCUGAAGGAAAUUGAAUGGAGAUCUUCAGUCUUGAAGGAGAAUCCAGCUUCUAAGAUGGAUCAAUUGGCUUUCUUCGAGUAAUUCCUUACUUCCCACUUUGUGUGUCCUUUUUAAUCCUCCUCUAAGGUAUUUAUAUAGGCUUUCAAAUUCUUCCAAACCUUCAAAAGUGCCCUUUUCCGAAUAGAACUAGACUUGGGCUCGACAGGGACACGACCGUGUGCCACGCCCGUGUGGUGUGUUGCUUAGGCCGUGUUAGAGUCUGUUAAAUAGACACGGGCGUGUGGUCUACCCAUGUACGGAAGUCCAGGCCGUGUUGAUUUUCCAUGUUGACCCAUUUUCUCCGUUUUUGGCUUGUUUCUCGCUUCUUUUACUCUCCUAUGCUCACCUAAGUAUAAGACAUGAAAUUAAAGGAUUAGGAGCAUCAAAUUCCACAAAUCUAAUGAUAAUUCAUCCAAAAGUGUGCUAAGCAUGGGAUAAAAAUAUGUAUAAAUUAUGACUCAUCAGUGUCUAUGGCCCGUAUCCCUCACACGGCCAUGACACGCCCAUCUCUUCCACCAGUGUAACUCUCUAUUUAUGACGUCAUCACCCAAUAUGAGGCACACUAGCUCGUGUGGCGUACUUAAUUUUUCACAAAUUGGAUGCAGGGGACACACGGCCUGACUACACGCCCAUAGGGCGGACCGUGUGUCACACAUAGCCUAGACACACGCCUGUGUGUCUACCCAUAUGGUCAAAUAUAAGGCUAUUUACCAAGCUUUUUGCCACCCUGGAACAUAAUCAAACAUAAAACAAUGCCACCAACUUAUAACAAGGCAUAAACACACAUUCAAACUACCACGACAAGACAUCUAUAUGCAAAUUUAUCCAACAUUCAUCAUGCAUACAUAUCAUACCAUUUUCCACUUAAACAUGCAAGCUUGCACAUGAUUAAUUUCAUCAUAUUGAUCAAAUAUAACUUAACCAAUAUUGGCCCAUUUCCAAUGGCCAUAUACAAAAUGAAUUUAGUACCAUUACUAGCCAACAUAUUGGCUAACCAAUAUGUCAUUUAACAAAAUGACCAAGUUCCUAUAGAUGCCAUACUCAAAAUGAUCAAACUGUAUUAUACCAAAAGAAUGGCUUGAUAGUGUGAAUCGAGCUCCGACGUCCUUCGAUCCCCGAGCUAGCUUGGCGAAACUACAAGGAAAAGAAAAGAAAGGGGGUAAGCAUAAAUGCUUAGUAAGCUUGCAUGCAAUAAAUAUUAACAGAAAACUAGGAAUAACACUUACAUAAUUGGCAAGCACUCAUAGACAUGGCUUACUCAUGCUCUUCCUUACCGAUAACACAUAUUUUAUCUGGCUCAUUUGUCGUGAAUUUCUCAUUAGUACCUGUAUCACUCAUCACAUAACUUUAAUCUUUCUCAUCAUUAAAUAUUAACUGUAAUUCUUUUCCUCAUUGGAUUACUUACCGAAGGAUACUCAUAAUGUCAUUCACAUAAUAAGAUGCCAAUACCAUAUCCCGGAUAUGGUCUUACAUAGGAUCAAAUGUCGAUGCCAUGUCCCAGAGAUGGUCUUAUACGGGAUCUUAUCUCGAUGUCAAUGCCAUAUCCCAUAUAUGGUCUUAUACGAGAUCGUACGUUGAUGCUGACGCCAUGUCCCAAACAUGGUCUUACACGAGAUCGUAUAUCAAUGCCGACGCCAUGUCCCAGACAUGGUCUUAUACGGGAUCGCUAUUCGAUACCGAUGAUGAUGCCAUAUCCUAGAUAUGGUCUUACACGAGAUCUCAACUCUAUCCCGAUGCCAUAUCCCAGAUAUGGUAUUAUACGGGACCUUCUCAGUCUCAUGUCAUGAUAAUGGUAUCCUUUGUAUUCCUAAACUUAACCGAGAUUCCGAUUCAACAUAAUUUCAUCGUUUCUUUAUCAAUAUCUCAUUAACAAAUUUCAUGGAAAUAAUAUAGAUUUCAUGUCAGAACAAAACAUUGAAUGCAUGAUAACAUAGUAUAAAUUUAUUACACACAAACUUACCUCGGAUCCAAAAUACGGGUGAAUAUUCAAUUUAAUCCACCACCUUGUUCUUUCCCCGGUUUCGGUCUGGACUUCGUGUUUCUUGAUCUAUAAUGACAAAUUUCACUUAUUUAAUCAUCACAUUGACCAAAACAGUCUAUAGUUCAUACUUUGGAAAAAUUAUAAUUUUACCCUAGACUUUCACAUAUUUGUAAAAUGGUCUCUAGGCUUGUAUGAUGAAAUGUACUCGAUUUCUUGGUUACCCAAGCCUAGCCAAACCUUAUAUGCACUCAUAACAGCCCAGAUUUCUCAUCAAAUCAAAUUUUUACCACUACUUUUACAACUUUUACAUUGUGGUCCUUUUCAUGAAUUUCCAAGAAAAGUCACAUAGAGAAUAUGUUUAUCAUUCAUCAAACUUCCAUAUUCUUUCAUUAAACAUCAAAACACAUGCAUGUCUUGCAUGGACAUAUUUUUGAACAUGAACCCUAGCUUCAAAUAUGGAUAUAAAUAGCUAGUUCGGUUGAUAACGAUUUCAAAAAUACGAAGAACAUUAAAAAUAGGGCUAGAUUGCACUUACUUGUGAGCUUGGGAAUGAACAAAACCCUAGCUAUGGAGACUUAGGGAUUUUCGGCACACUUGGAGAAGAAGAUGAACACAUUUUUGCUUCUUUUUCCCUUUUUAUUUCAUUAAUUAACCAAAUGACCAAAAUACCCUUAUGGCAUUUUUUUGAAAUUUUCUCCUUCCUUGGGCAUUUUUGUCCAUCAUGCCAUAAAAUGGUCUAAUUGCUACAUAAGGACCUCCAAUCAUUUUUCUAAUGCUAUUUCAUCCUUAAAACUUCUAAAAACUCAUAUUUUGCAAUUUUUGCAAUCUACUCCUAAAGGACAAAUUAAUCACCUAUUCACAAAAUUUCUUUAUGAAAUUUUCACACAAUCAUGAAAUCACAUCAUAGACCUUAAAGAAAUCAUAAAACAUAUAUUUUUAUAUCGGAUCUAUGGUCUCCCAACCACUAUUCUGACUAGGCCCUAAUUCGGGCUGUUACAGGUGGUGUCACCCUAUAUGGCGACAUCAGUAUGAAGAAUAGCUGGGUAAAAUACAGGGAAAGUCAAGUGACACCAUUGUUUACAAAAAAUAGUAAAUCGGGACUGAGAAACAUGAAAAAUGGGAGUCAAAAGGGAAGAUUUCAAGCCUAAGGAAGAAGAAAAAUGGGUGACCCCGUGAUUCCGUGAUUGUUCAGUCAUGUUCGCCAUAGGCAGUCAAACCGGUGUCGCCUAACACAAAAUUUUGUAUUAUGUCCCUAUUUUUGUAUUCCUCUCAACCCACUAUAUAUAUAACAUGGUAAGCUAUCGGGUUUAUAAAACAGACAUUUUAAAAAAAAAAUUGUUUAUUUUUAAUUGAAAAAAACUUAGUCUAUUUCUGAAAAACAUAAGAGUUAAAAGAAAACCAUUUAAAGUCACAAACUUAUGUACAUAAGUUUACCUUGUUGGAAAAGCGAUUUGAAAAAUGCAGUUGAAAAUAAAUUUAGGGAAAAACCAAAGUUUUAAAAGUUUUCCAAAACAAAAUAAAUUUGUUUUUUUAACUGUCGGCUGUUUGUGUCAAAAUUUAGGGGUGGUGUCGUCUAUGCAUCACCCUCAACCACCCCAAGCAUCUCGUUUUUGUAAUUAAUCAAGGUGGUGUACCAUUUUAGAUAUUUUUAUAUUUCUUUAUAUUAUAUAUGUAAAAAAAACUUUGCCUAUCUCUCUCCCUCCACCUCACCUGCGACAUUACAAGUGCCCAUAAAUUUAUUUUGUAUUAAAUGACCGUAUAAGUUUUUUUAUCAGAUUUUUUAUAACAUGAAUACUGGUGUAGCCUCUCUCACAUCCUCCACCUUUAAAGUAUAUAUAUUUUACCCCAUAUCAUUUUGUAAUGAUGUUUUGAUGAAUAAGUCAGAAAAAAAUGGUGCCACAUUUUCCAUACUCUCUAUCCCAACACUGUUGCAAACAUACCAUUUUGGUAAAUAAGUGUAUUGGCAUGCGAUUAUGGUAUUUAAUUAUUUAUUUUAUAUUAUUCAGGUAAAAAAGCCACAAUAUUAUUUAAUUACAUGAACAAUGAUUUUGAUUUUUAACUUUAGAAAUCAUAAACAUUUAUUAAAAUGAUGUAAUAAUUCGAAUUGUGUAUUUCAUAUUUAAGUUAAACUGAAAAUUUUGAUUUUUUAUUCGGGCUGAUCCGAAUAAUUCAAAUAACUCAAAUUAUUUAAUUCAAAAUUUAAAUUUUUAUCAAAUUUUUUAAUCAAUUCGAAUUUUACUCAUCCCUAUAUUAGAAUAUAAAAAUAUAAACUCUUAUAUUAGCAAGGGCUUCAAAUGAAGUUGGGCAAUACUAUCUGGGGCAUAGCACCAAUAAAGAUUGAUUUAUGAAAUUAUUUAUGAAAAUGGGUUGCUUUUAAAAAUAAUUAUAGGUAUGGAUAGAAAAUCUAAAAAUGAGCUGACGAGGACACGUUUUUCCUCGUGUCAAGCAAAAGCACACUCACAUGGAUUUUUGUUUUAAAAAUCGACCAUAAUAAAAAAAAAAGAAAAAGAAGAACAAAUUGCACGUAUGAAACUUGUACAUGCAAUAAUCUUAUAUUCAAUUUUAAAUGUUUGAAGUUAAUAUUAAUGCAAUUCUAUUUUUUUAAAUAAUUUUCCAUUAUUUCAAUUUAGAAGUUAUACAUAAAAUAUAAUAAUUAUUUUUCAUAUUUUUAUAUCUAGAUUAAAUUACAUUAGUACUCACUUAAUUAUGAUUUUUUUACUAUUGAGUUAUAAAAACUUAAAAAAUGAUCACUCAACUAUUAGUUUUUUUUUGUCACCCAAUUAUCUUGAAUUUUAAGGUAUGUAGAAAAAAAAAGAAGAAGACAAAUUUGAAUAAUUGAAUGAGAAUUUUGUAACUUUUCAUAAACAGAUGAUUCAAAAAAACAUAAUUAAAUGACUAUUUCAUAUUAAUUUUUUAAUCCUAAAAAAAUUUAAAAAAAGAUAUAUCAAUUUUUUAAAAUUACAAAAAAAAUAUACUGAGUACUAAACAAUUAAAAAAUGCAACAAGAUUAAACAUCUCAAAAAAUAAUUUUAUAAUAUGAGAAAAUGUUAAAAAAAUAUAAAAAAUAGAAAUUAUUUUGUAAAAAUGUAUAAAAUAUAAUGUAGCAUUUAAUCUUAUAUUGUUAGUUAAAACAUGAUGGAAUCCCACAUUGUCUAGGAACAAGCUGCAAACAUAUUCAUGAGCCUAUAUAUACACGUAUCUCACAUUCUAUAUUAUUUAAGAAAAUAAUAGAAAUGACACUUUAAGUUUAUAUAAAAAUCUGUUUUGUAAAUUUUAUUUUUCACAUUAAUUGAUGGCACCAAAAAAUUUAAAAGAAUGGUGUUAUUACUUUGGAUUUCAUAAAUUUAAAAUAAAUUUAUUUAUUUUGUAAUAUUUUAAAAAUUACAUUUAUUAAAAAUCUAGUUUGACGUACGUCGAUCCUUACCAAUAAUUAUUUUUACAGUCGUUUAUUUCUGUGGUCUAUAUUCUCCAUCAUUGGUACUAUGCCCUACUAAGUGGAAAGUGACGCGGCUGUGCACUAGAAUGGAUGGGUCGAGCAGGUCUGCAAGUCCUUACAAAUUGCACACUGUCCAAUUUAAAUAAUUGAGAUAAUGAAGUUUUUCAUUUUCAUUUUCUUUAUAUUUUCAUUUUAGUAUUUUUUAUAUAUUAAAAAAAUAUCAUUUCAUCAAUGUAUCAAAAUAAAAAAAAUAACAUUGUGACACGAAAGAUGUACUUGGUGUCGGCUAUCUAUUGGCGAACACCAACAAAAAAAAUUGGUUUUACAUAUGUGGUGUUGGCCAUUACAUGGCUAACGCCCAAAUUUUUUUCAAGUACUGAUAUUUUUGUAUACUAAUAUGAUACGAUUUUAAAAGAAAAUACUUCGGUACCGGCCAUUGGGUUCUUAAAAUCUUAUUUUACUGUUCAUUUCAGGUUAUUUUGAUAAUUAUUUUUAAACUUAAAUCAUUUUUUUAAAUAUCAAUUUUUUUUGAAUUAUAUUGAUAAAAUAGCCUUGAUUGGGGAAAUAAUUGACAUAAUGAUGUUUUCCAUUUUUUUUACUUUAUAUUUUCAUUUUAGUAUUUCUUUAUAUAUUAAAAAAAAUAUCAUUCCAUCCCACUGCCUCCUUAUAAAAGAAAAAGAACAGUGGCAGCCAACUUACAAAGCCAUCCUUGUAUAAUAUAGUAUUUUAACUCAUUAGCCUGUCCCUCAUGGAAUCCCAUAUUGAGAAACAAAAUGAAGAUGCGCUUCAAAAAUCUUUUAAAGAGAUGAUAUCUAUUCUCCCUCAAGGAAAUUGUUGGGGUUAUUCUGAUGAUCUAUGUCAAUAUCAAGGUUUUUGAUUCUACCCAACUUUUCUACAAGGAGCUUUGUCGGCUCAACAACAAUUCCAGGCACAACCCACUGAUAUCAUCCUUUGUAGCUCUCCAAGAACAGGUGUAGCCUGGUUAAAAUCCCUCACUUUCGCCACAAUUACAAGAACUUCAUACAAUGAUUCCACCACCCCUUUACUUUCCAAGAUGCCUCAUGAUGUUGUGACUUUCAUGGAGUUCGAUCAUGCCCAGUUUUCCACUAAUCGACAUAUUGGAAUUCCUCUUUUAGCCACUCAUCUUCCUUAUUCCUUAUUACCC